GAUGAAGAACGUAGCGAAAUGCGAUACGUAAUGUGAAUUGCAGAAUUCAGUGAAUCAUCGAAUCUUUGAACGCAUAUUGCGCUCUCUGGUAUUCCGGAGAGCAUGCUUGUUUGAGUAUCAGUAAACACCUCAACUUCCAUAUCUUUUUUGAAAUGGGAGUUGGACUUGAGUGAUCCCAACGCUUUUCCUCACCGAAAAGUGGCGGGUUACUUGAAAUGCAGGUGCAGCUGGACUUUUCUCUGAGCUAUAAGCAUAUCUAUUUAGUCUGCCUAAAAAACAGAUUAUUACCUUUGCUGCAGCUAACAUAAAGGAGAUUAGUUCUUGUGCUGACUGAUGCAGGAUUCACAAAGACAGGCUUCGGCCGACUUUGUAAACUCGAUCUCAAAUCAAGUAAGACUACCCGCUGAACUUAAGCAUAUCAAUAAGUGGAGGA
This 433-nucleotide unclassified non-coding RNA is filed under the name soil metagenome. RNAcentral's name for it is "partial contains 5.8S ribosomal RNA, internal transcribed spacer 2, and large subunit ribosomal RNA". The stretch from base 1 to 120 matches the Rfam family "5.8S ribosomal RNA", at positions 35 to 154 of the family's 154-position model. The record is from RNAcentral.